Molecule: RNase P RNA, 396 nt
Filed under: Nocardioides albidus
Lineage: Bacteria; Bacillati; Actinomycetota; Actinomycetes; Propionibacteriales; Nocardioidaceae
Description: Bacterial RNase P class A
Rfam family: Bacterial RNase P class A
About the family: Ribonuclease P (RNase P) is a ubiquitous endoribonuclease, found in archaea, bacteria and eukarya as well as chloroplasts and mitochondria. Its best characterised activity is the generation of mature 5'-ends of tRNAs by cleaving the 5'-leader elements of precursor-tRNAs.
Source: Rfam by way of RNAcentral
CGGGCUGGCCGGGCGACCGCGUGACCCAUCGCCGCGAGGCGACGGGCCCCGAGGAAAGUCCGGGCUCCACAGAGCAGGGUGGUGGGUAACACCCACCCGGGGUGACCCGCGGGAAAGUGCCACAGAGAACAGACCGCCUCGCCUCUCGUGGGCGGGGUAAGGGUGAAACGGUGGGGCAAGAGCCCACCAGUGCGCCGGGCGACCGGAGCAGCUAGGCAAACCCCACCCGGAGCAAGACCAGACAGCACACGACGGUCCGGAUCAACCGGGCUGAGAGGGCUGCUCGCCCGAGUGUGCGGGUAGGUCGCUCGAGGCUGUCGGCAACGGCAGCCCUAGAUGGAUGGUCGCCCCUUUGGAAACAGAGGACAGAACCCGGCUUAGAGGCCAGCCCGUCCC